Molecule: ribosomal RNA, 270 nt
Filed under: uncultured bacterium
Lineage: Bacteria
Description: partial 16S ribosomal RNA
Rfam family: Bacterial small subunit ribosomal RNA
Source: RNAcentral
AACGAACGCUGGCGGCAUGCCUCAUACAUGCAAGUCGAACGCAGGCUUCGGCCUGAGUGGCGCACGGGUGAGUAGCGCGUGGGAACCUGCCCAGCAGUGGGGGAUAACCGAUGGAAACGUCGGCUAAUACCGCAUGCGCCCGGUGAGCGAUCAUCGGGGAAAGAUUUAUCGCUGUUGGAGGGGCCCGCGUCGGAUUAGCUAGUUGGUGGGGUAACGGCCUACCAAGGCUAUGAUCCGUAGCUGGUCUGAGAGGAUGAUCAGCCACACUGG